GCCAGUUUGGCAUAGUGGUUUAAGCACUGGACUAUGACUCCGGAGACCAGGGUUCGAGUCCUGGCUUGGCC
RNAcentral lists this transfer RNA (71 nucleotides) under Phrynosoma platyrhinos (Desert horned lizard). RNAcentral's name for it is "tRNA-OTHER". It matches the Rfam family "tRNA". Rfam says of the family: Transfer RNA (tRNA) molecules are approximately 80 nucleotides in length. Their secondary structure includes four short double-helical elements and three loops (D, anti-codon, and T loops). Further hydrogen bonds mediate the characteristic L-shaped molecular structure. tRNAs have two regions of fundamental functional importance: the anti-codon, which is responsible for specific mRNA codon recognition, and the 3' end, to which the tRNAs corresponding amino acid is attached (by aminoacyl-tRNA synthetases). tRNAs cope with the degeneracy of the genetic code in two manners: having more than one tRNA (with a specific anti-codon) for a particular amino acid; and 'wobble' base-pairing, i.e. permitting non-standard base-pairing at the 3rd anti-codon position. The record is from RNAcentral. Lineage: Eukaryota; Metazoa; Chordata; Lepidosauria; Squamata; Phrynosomatidae.